UCAGCGUGGAGUCAUGGGAGGUCUGGAGAAGAAGUAUGAAGGAGGCUCCACCACCAAUUACAUCACCCGAAACAAAGCCCGGAAGAAGCUGCAGCUGAGCCUGCCUGAUUUCCGGCGGCUGUGUACCCUGAAAGGCAUUUAUCCCUCUGAGCCCAAGCAUAAGAAGAAAAUGAACAAGGGUUCCACAGCAGCCCGAACAUACUACCUUAUCAAAGUUAUUAAAGUCCUCCUCCAUGAGCAUGUCAACGUGUCAACAAGUUCCAAGAGUACAAGAUGGUUUAUUUGGAAGCUCCACAAAGCCUACGGGAAGAGUGAGUGGAAUGCUGUGGAGCUUGAAGGACAAUAAACCCAGUACAAACUUGAGCACAUUGUCGAGGAGCGGUACCCCACAUUUAUCGAUGCUCUAAGGGAUCUUGAUGAUGCCCUGCCAAUGUGCUUCCUCUUCUCCACCUUCCCAUAGAUGGGUAAGUGCCAUGUGCAGACCAUUCAGAGGCGUUACCCGCUGACUGUGGAGUUCCUGCACUACGUCAUUGCUGCCCGAGCCCCGCGCAAGGUCUUCCCGUCCAUCAAAGGCAUUUAUCACCAGGGCAGCCCAUCAUAUGAAUUGCACCCUAUACUUUCUCCCAUGAUCAUCCAACAGAUGUGGACUACAGGGCCAUGGCCACCUUCACUGAGUUCUAGACCACUCUCCUGGGCUUUGUCAACUUCCGCCUUUACCAGUCUCUCAGUCUUCACUACCCACCCAAACGUGAAGGUCAAGCCCAAGCAGAGACAAAGAUCAGUGAGGACACAUAUGCACUGGACCCUGAGAGCUCUAUGGAGAAACUAGCAGCCCUCAGUGCCAGCUUGGCUCAAGUGGAGGUGCCUACCAUAGAGGAGGCUGAGGCCAUUGAGUUUCCUACUGAUGGGGAGAUGGCCACACAGGAGGAAGGGCCCAGGAAAGAGCUGAAGACCCAGGAAAAACACAAGAAACUCUUUGAAGGCCUGAAGUUCUUCCUGAACUGAGAGGUGCCCCGUGAAGCAUUGUCCUUCAUCCUCAGGAGUUUUGAUGGGGAUGCAUCCUGGGACAUCUUUGUGCAUCGGAGCCACCUAUGACAUUACAGACUCCUGCCUGCUUCACCCACCAGACUGUUGACCUGCCUGGGCAGCAAACCCCCAUCAUUGGCCGGCACCAUGUACAGCCCCAGUGCGUGUCUGACUGUGUGAAUGCCCGCCUCCUCCUCCCCGGGGCAGAGGACUUCCCUGGGGUACAGCUGCCCCCACACCUUUCACCAUUUGUAUUUGAGAAGGAAGGAGAUUACAUCCCCCCCAUCCCCCAGAAGUGGAAGCUAGGGCUCUGCAGCGGGGAGAAGACCCAGGAGACUUGAAAGAGGAAGAGGAGGAUGAAGAUGAUGACAAUCAAGGGGAUGGUGAUGUUGGGGGCGGGGAAUGAGGAGGAGGAAGAUGUGGAAGGUGAUUCAGAGAAGGAGGAGGAAGAGCACCUGUUGGCCUUGGAGCAGCGAAGGCUGGAAGGGAAGAAGCCCCAGGUGGUGGCUGGCACUGUGAAAAUGGAGGACAAGCAGCGGCUGGCCCAGGAGGAAGAAAAAAGUGAGGCUAAGCGCCUGGCCAUCGCAAUGAUGAGAAAGUGAAAGAAGUAUUUCUACCAAAAGAUCAUGUUUGGCAAGUGGUGCAAAAUCCAAGAGGCCAGCAGGCUGGCAGAGAACAGGAAAGCCCAUGAUGAUGCUGUGAGGUCUGAGGAAAAACGCCAGGCAAGGCCUGGGCGAGCUCCGGCUGUCCCUCACUGGGAGUUGGGCAUGGCAGAAGCAAGUCAGUGGAACACACGUGUGCACAGUCGUGACCAGCCCAGCACCCUCAUACGUUUGGUGGCGUGUGGCCAGCCCUAG
Molecule: non-coding RNA, 1883 nt
Organism: Peromyscus maniculatus bairdii (prairie deer mouse)
Lineage: Eukaryota; Metazoa; Chordata; Mammalia; Rodentia; Cricetidae
Source: RefSeq, a predicted model, not a curated record